This 433-nucleotide ribosomal RNA is filed under the name uncultured bacterium. RNAcentral describes it as "partial 16S ribosomal RNA". It matches the Rfam family "Bacterial small subunit ribosomal RNA", at positions 29 to 507 of the family's 1533-position model. The record is from RNAcentral.
AACGAACGCUGGCGGCAUGCCUAACACAUGCAAGUCGAACGAGACCUUCGGGUCUAGUGGCGCACGGGUGCGUAACGCGUGGGAACCUGCCCUUAGGUUCGGAAUAACUCCCCGAAAGGGGUGCUAAUACCGGAUAAUGUCUUCGGACCAAAGAUUUAUCGCCUUUGGAUGGGCCCGCGUUGGAUUAGCUAGUUGGUAGGGUAAAAGCCUACCAAGGCGACGAUCCAUAGCUGGUCUGCGAGGAUGAUCAGCCACACUGGGACUGAGACACGGCCCAGACUCCUACGGGAGGCAGCAGUGGGGAAUAUUGGACAAUGGGCGAAAGCCUGAGCCAGCAAUGCCGCGUGAGUGAUGAAGGCCUUAGGGUUGUAAAGCUCUUUUACCCGGGAUGAUAAUGACAGUACCGGGAGAAUAAGCUCGGGCUAACUCCGUG